Bombina bombina (fire-bellied toad) is the source of this 138-nucleotide small nucleolar RNA. The record is from RefSeq and is a predicted model, not a curated record. NCBI's taxonomy places the organism in Eukaryota, Metazoa, Chordata, Amphibia, Anura, Bombinatoridae.
GUGCAAACUAGAUCACUAAUUCUGCAAGACGUUGCAGAUUUAAGGGGAACAAGUUUGCUAUACUACUCAAAGCAGUCGGGAAUACUUCAGCCUGCAGUUUAAUACAUGUGGCUGCAUAAUCCUUACUGCUACACAAUA